RNAcentral lists this ribosomal RNA (119 nucleotides) under Pteropus alecto (black flying fox). Lineage: Eukaryota; Metazoa; Chordata; Mammalia; Chiroptera; Pteropodidae. The record is from RNAcentral. RNAcentral also lists the same sequence under 1 other name.
AUCUAUGGCCAUGCCACCCUGAAAAAGCCAGAUGCCAUCUGAUCUCGGAAGCUAAGCAGGGUUGGGCCUUGUUAGUACUUGGAUGGGAGACCACCUAGGAAGACCAGGUGCUGUAGGCU